ACUGUCCUGCCAGAGGGAGCCCUUCUGUAGGUGAAUGUUUUUAAUAGCAUGCCUCCUCAUCUCUCUGAGGGCACAGCUUUGUGGGCGUUGUCAGUGUGGUGACAGCAGAAGACUGUCACUGUACGACCUGGGCUCAGGGCACGAGCUGAGCACAGACAUGUCUUCCUGUCCCUUAGGAUCUCUCCUUCCUUGGCUAUACAGCUCUUGCUCUUAGGAUUAUUGUAGUGCUGCAAGAAGAUGUAAAAGUACUUUGGAGGCAGGGUGUGGUGGUAUGUGCCUUUAAUACCAGCCACAGGAGGGCUGCAGUAGGAAGGUCGCUUGAGUCCAGGAAGUCAAGACCAGCUCAGGCAGCAUGUUCUGGAGGCCAGAAGUCUGAGGUGAAGUCUGAAUUCAAGCAUCGGCAGCUUCAAGUUCUCUCAUGGCCUCUCUCCCUGGCUAUAGACUGUCACUUUCUCUAUAGGGCAAUCUUUCCUCUGCGUGUGUCUGCGGUAAUCUCCUGUUACAGUAAGGACAUCAGUCCUAUUGUAUUAGGACCCACAAUAAAGACCUCAUUUUAACUUAA
Long non-coding RNA from Carlito syrichta (Philippine tarsier), 562 nucleotides. RefSeq lists it as uncharacterized. The record is from RefSeq and is a predicted model, not a curated record. The transcript has 2 exons. Lineage: Eukaryota; Metazoa; Chordata; Mammalia; Primates; Tarsiidae.